ACGGGAGGCAGCAGUAGGGAAUAUUGCACAAUGGGGGGAACCCUGAUGCAGCGACGCCGCGUGAGCGAUGAAGCAUUUCGGUGCGUAAAGCUCUAUCAGCAGGGAAGACAAUGACGGUACCUGACUAAGAAGCCCCGGCUAACUACGUGCCAGCAGCCGCGGUAAUACGUAGGGGGCAAGCGUUAUCCGGAUUUACUGGGUGUAAAGGGAGUGUAGGUGGCCUGGCAAGUCAGAUGUGAAAGCCCGCGGCUCAACCGCGGGACUGCAUUUGAAACUGUCAGGCUGGAGUGCAGGAGGGGAAAGCGGAAUUCCUAGUGUAGCGGUGAAAUGCGUAGAUAUUAGGAAGAACACCGGCGGCGAAGGCGGCUUUCUGGACUGUAACUGACACUGAGGCUCGAAAGCGUGGGGAGCAAACAGGAUUAGAUACCCUGGUA
RNAcentral lists this ribosomal RNA (434 nucleotides) under uncultured Lachnospiraceae bacterium. RNAcentral's name for it is "bacterial SSU rRNA". It matches the Rfam family "Bacterial small subunit ribosomal RNA", at positions 341 to 792 of the family's 1533-position model. The record is from RNAcentral. Lineage: Bacteria; Bacillati; Bacillota; Clostridia; Lachnospirales; Lachnospiraceae.